This 245-nucleotide ribosomal RNA is filed under the name uncultured bacterium. RNAcentral describes it as "partial 16S ribosomal RNA". It matches the Rfam family "Bacterial small subunit ribosomal RNA", at positions 524 to 768 of the family's 1533-position model. The record is from RNAcentral.
UACGUAGGGAGCGAGCGUUGUCCGGAUUUAUUGGGCGUAAAGAGCGUGUAGGCGGCCUGAAAGGUCAGCUGAUGAAACUCGAGGCUCAACCUCGAGACGUCGGUUGAAACCAUCUGGCUAGAGUCCGGAAGAGGAGUGUGGAAUUCCCGGUGUAGCGGUGAAAUGCGCAGAUAUCGGGAAGAACACCAGUGGCGAAGGCGGCUACCUGGACAGAUGCUGACGCUGAGGCGCGAGAGCGGUGGGGA